Molecule: ribosomal RNA, 497 nt
Filed under: uncultured bacterium
Lineage: Bacteria
Description: partial 16S ribosomal RNA
Rfam family: Bacterial small subunit ribosomal RNA
Source: RNAcentral
GAUGAACGCUGGCGGCGUGCCUAAUACAUGCAAGUCGAGCGAACAGACGAGGAGCUUGCUCCUCUGACGUUAGCGGCGGACGGGUGAGUAACACGUGGAUAACCUACCUAUAAGACUGGGAUAACUUCGGGAAACCGGAGCUAAUACCGGAUAAUAUAUUGAACCGCAUGGUUCAAUAGUGAAAGACGGUUUUGCUGUCACUUAUAGGUGGAUCCGCGCCGCAUUAGCUAGUUGGUAAGGUAACGGCUUACCAAGGCAACGAUGCGUAGCCGACCUGAGAGGGUGAUCGGCCACACGGGAACUGAGACACGGUCCAGACGCCUACGGGAGGCAGCAGUAGGGAAUCUUCCGCAAUGGGCGAAAGCCUGACGGAGCAACGCCGCGUGAGUGAUGAAGGUCUUCGGAUCGUAAAACUCUGUUAUUAGGGAAGAACAAAUGUGUAAGUAACUAUGCACGUCUUGACGGUACCUAAUCAGAAAGCCACGGCUAACUACGUG